RNAcentral lists this ribosomal RNA (253 nucleotides) under uncultured bacterium. RNAcentral describes it as "partial 16S ribosomal RNA". It matches the Rfam family "Bacterial small subunit ribosomal RNA", at positions 524 to 776 of the family's 1533-position model. The record is from RNAcentral.
UACGGAGGGGGCUAGCGUUGUUCGGAAUUACUGGGCGUAAAGCGCACGUAGGCGGCUUUGUAAGUUAGAGGUGAAAGCCCGGGGCUCAACCCCGGAAUUGCCUUUAAGACUGCAUCGCUUGAAUCCAGGAGAGGUGAGUGGAAUUCCGAGUGUAGAGGUGAAAUUCGUAGAUAUUCGGAAGAACACCAGUGGCGAAGGCGGCUCACUGGACCGGUAUUGACGCUGAGGUGCGAAAGCGUGGGGAGCAAACAGG